This 2665-nucleotide long non-coding RNA is filed under the name Homo sapiens (human). RNAcentral's name for it is "HSALNT0406712". The record is from RNAcentral. Lineage: Eukaryota; Metazoa; Chordata; Mammalia; Primates; Hominidae.
GCUCCGGCGCUGGCGGGCGACGGGAAGGGCUUAGGCGCUCUGGCUGGGCGGGGCGCGGGCGCCUUGGUUUCGUCCCGUGGCUUGGCAGUUGGCAGCGGCUCGGCGCGCACCCAACGGCCCACCGCGGGUUUCCGGGACGGCUAGCAGCGCGGUUCCCGGUCCCGCCCCGAACCCCCUUACCUGGCGCAGAGGCCGCUCAGUGCGGUGCGGUCAGGCCUCGUGGGCUGGGACCUAAGCCGUUGACCCUAAGGCGAUCGGGGCUCCCCGCGCGGCCCCCCCGGGGGACGGGAUUAACGCCUAAGCCCCAAGCCGGGUCGGCGGGAGGAGGGCGGCCCUCUGGGCGAGCGCGGGGCCGGGGCUGGCGGUGCGGAGCGCACGGGACUCGCCCGCUUCUCAGGGUCUGAAGGAAAUGUGCACUUUUAAUGUGUUAUUUCCUAACACAAAUGUUUGAGCAGACCAAAUAAACUCUGCAUGCUGAAUGUGGCCCCGAGGUCCCCCGUUGGUGACACGGCUUUCGGCAUUUUCUCGGCCUGAGUGUGAGAGUGAGAGGAGCCCGCGUGGCGGUCACCGGCUGGAGCGGGAGCGUGGAGUUAUCACGGCCGCCUCUGCCCGGAGCCCGCCCCUGCCCCGCGGCUGUGCCCCUUCACCCGCACGCCGACUGUUCCAAAGUCCACGUCCAGCCUGCAGCCGGGUUUUCUAUGGUGCCUGAGCUAAGAAUGCUUUUCUCGUUUUUAAGAGGUUGGGGGAGAAUUAAAACAGUAUUUUAGCAUAUAUGAAAAGUAUAUGACAUUCAAAUAUCGGCCGGGCACGGUGGCUCACGCCUGUAAUCCCUGCACUUUGGGAGGCCGAGGCGGGUGGAUCACCUGAGAUCAGGAGUUCGAGACCAGCCUGGCCAACAUGGAGAAACCCCGUCUCUACUGAAAAAAAAUAAAAAAUUAGCCAGACGUGGUGGUGGGCUCCUGUAAUCCCAGAUACUCGGGAGACUGAGGCAGAAGAAUCGCUUGAACCCGGGAGGCAGAGGUUGCAGUGAGCCGAGAUCGCGCCACUGCACUCCAGUCUGGGUGACAGAGCAAGACUCCGUCUCCAAAAAAAAAUUAAAUUAAAAUGUCGGUUUCCUAAGGAGUUCAACUGGAACACCACCAUGCUUGUUCAUGUAGUUAAAAGUCUGCAAGUGCUUGGUACAUACACAGAUGGUAUUUAUUUGCUGUUUGUCUUAAAUUGCAUUCUUAUGCAUCAUAGAGACUGCGAUAAGGAGAAGAAAAAAUAUUUUCUACAGGACCAUCCAAACAUGACAAGAGCAAAAAUCACCCCCUGCAGAACCUAGGAGCUACGUGCAGAACUUUACAGAGUUGAGGCAGCGCCGUAGCUGAGGCCUGACUGCUAACCAGGGAGUGGAGCUCUGAGUGCACUCAAGGAACGCAAGGAAGCCAGGCAGGGAGGAAGGGGCCGGCGGAGUCUAACUUCAGCUGCCAUCUUUUUUGGUGGCACAUCUCGUGGUCACAGGUUGUAGGCUGUGUUUCUGGAAGGUUCAGGUACAGCGCAAGAUUCCACUUGUCUACUUGGCUAUCUCUGUGCCUGAGGUGCCAUGAGGCCAACGGACGUCACUCAAAUUCAUGUCCAGCCAAACUCCCACAGCAAAGAAUCCCGAACCGAGGAUGAAGUUCCUCUAGAAAGCAUUCCUAUCUGUGGCAAAGCUGCAGACACCCCGAAACCCAUCUCCCACCUCGUCUGGAAUUUCAGGAGCUUCGUUUGCUGAGCCAGUGCACUCAUGGCAACCCUGCAGGAAGCCAUGUGGCACCUCUGGGCUUUGCACCGUGUGUGUUCUCUUCUCUAAACUGCUGUUUUUGCUUAGCAAAGAGCCUCGCCUGCCACUGAUGAUGGCAGUGUGGGGUCAUUUUGAAUGGCUGCCUGACACUGCAUGGCACAUUCACGUACACAGUCCUGUGGGAUCGUGACAUAAUAAGAAAUAGAUAUUUCAUCUCUGCCCCUGGUUCCUGACACAGAGCUCCUAAAACCAUUGAAAUUUCCUGGAUAAUAGGAGCUUCUUCUGUUCCAAUGGGGUGACUCUUGGUGGGCUCCUGGAUGGGGGCUGGUCACUAGCGAGACCACACCAUGAUGAGAAACCUGGAGCUUCAGCCCUACCCCCACCUCUGAGCAGGGGAGACGGGCUAGCUAGAGGCGCGGUUCCUAAUGCGCCAUAUGCCUACAUGAAGACGUCUCCGUAAAAGUCCCUCAGCAGUGGGGGUUUGGAGAGCUCCCAGGUUGGUGAACACAUCUCUUUGUGGGGGGCGUGGAGCACCCCAGCUCCCCAGGGCUGGCAGCUCCUGUGCUGAGAACGCUUCUGGACUUCGCCUUACGCACCCUUCAUCUGACUCCUCAUCCCUAUCCUUUAUCGUAUCUUUUAUAAUAAACAUGUUUCUCGCCAGGCGCGGUGGCUCACGCCUGUAAUCCCAGCACUUCGGGAGGCUGAGGUGGGCAGAUCACCUGAGGUUGGGAGUUUGAGACCAGCCUGACCAGCAUGGAGAAACGCUGUCUCUACUAAAAAUAAAAAAUUAGCCAGGUGUGGUGGUGCAUGCCUGCAAUCCCAGCUACUAGCAAGGCUGAGGCAGGAGAAUCGCUCGAACCCAGGAGGCAGAGGUUGUGGUAAGCUGAGAUCGUGCCAUUG